This 74-nucleotide transfer RNA is filed under the name Candidatus Curtissbacteria bacterium RIFCSPLOWO2_01_FULL_37_9. Its description in RNAcentral is "tRNA-Val". It matches the Rfam family "tRNA". From Rfam's summary of the family: Transfer RNA (tRNA) molecules are approximately 80 nucleotides in length. Their secondary structure includes four short double-helical elements and three loops (D, anti-codon, and T loops). Lineage: Bacteria; Candidatus Curtissiibacteriota. The record is from RNAcentral.
GGGCACUUAGCUCAGCUGGUUAGAGCGACACGUUUACACCGUGUAGGUCGGGGGUUCGAAUCCCUCAGUGCCCA